This 497-nucleotide ribosomal RNA is filed under the name uncultured bacterium. RNAcentral describes it as "partial 16S ribosomal RNA". It matches the Rfam family "Bacterial small subunit ribosomal RNA", at positions 28 to 507 of the family's 1533-position model. The record is from RNAcentral.
GAUGAACGCUGGCGGCGUGCCUAAUACAUGCAAGUCGAGCGAACGGACGAGAGGCUUGCUUCUCUGAUGUUAGCGGCGGACGGGUGAGUAACAUGUGGAUAACCUACCUAUAAGACUGGGAUAACUUCGGGAAACCGUAGCUAAUACCGGAUAAUAUUUUGACCCGCAUGGUUCAAACGUGAAAUACGGUCUUGCUGUCACUUAUAGAUGGAUCCGCGCUUCAUUAGCUAGUUGGUAAGGUAACGGCUUACCAAGGCAACGAUGUAUAGCCGACCUGAGAGGGUGGUCGGCCAGACAGGAUCUGAGGCACGUUCCAGACUCCUACAGGAAGCCACAGCAGGGAAUCUUCAGCAAGGUAGGAGUGCGGAACAUGGCAACACCGCGGGAGUGCUGAAGGUCUUCGGAUCGGAUACCUCUGUUAUUAGCGAGGAUCAUAUGUUUUAGUAACUGGGCACAUCUUGACGGUACCCAGUCAGAAAGCCACGGCUAACUACGUG